RNAcentral lists this ribosomal RNA (253 nucleotides) under uncultured bacterium. RNAcentral's name for it is "partial 16S ribosomal RNA". It matches the Rfam family "Bacterial small subunit ribosomal RNA", at positions 524 to 776 of the family's 1533-position model. The record is from RNAcentral.
UACGUAGGGUGCAAGCGUUGUCCGGAUUUAUUGGGUUUAAAGGGUGCGUAGGUGGUUAAUUAAGUCAGUGGUGAAAAUGGGUUGCUCAACAACCGAACUGCCAUUGAUACUGGUUGACUUGAGAUAGGUUGAGGUUGGUGGAAUGGAUGGUGUAGCGGUGAAAUGCAUAGAUAUCAUCCAGAACGUCAAUUGCGAAGGCAGCUGACUGGGCCUAAUCUGACACUGAGGCACGAGAGCGUGGGGAUCAAACAGG